CUCCCUCGAGGAAUCACAUGUUGUGGUUUCUUAGUGGGUAGAUUCAUGAGUUACCAUAUGGGAUUACAGGGUGCUCGCUGAGCAGCGUGACGGGGUGGGGGACACAGUCAUCCCCGGAACUGAGCACUGAGGGAGGGCACCUGGGCUGAGGGGGUCCUGGGGCGGCUGUGGGCCCAGCAGCAUCCUGGCCUGGGGCAGAGCUGACCGACCCCUUAUGUAUGACCCGGCCAGGCGGCGAGGCCAGCACCCCCAAGUCCUGGGCCGGACACCAGAUGCCAGAGCUUCACGGAGCCCCUCACCCACCUGCUCACCUCAGCGGCUGGCACCAAGGCGCCAACAGCAUCCCACAGCUGGGGAGGAAAACUGGAAUGCAGGCCCCCAGUGCCAGCAGGGCUCGCUGUGAAAGGAGAGGGCCGGGGGCCUCCCAAGGAGAACUUCGGGGGACUCUUCCCACUCCCUCACUCUGCGGCUACAGAGCCCCCCAGCCGGCUUGGGAGCGGAGAGGAUUCUGGGCUCGGCCCCUGGAGGGAGAACGCAGCCCCCCUGAGCUCUGAAGCAGCACCGGGCUGUGGCUCAGAGGGGCGGGCAGCUCCUUGUGAACGAGGCCCUUCUCAGGAGUUCCCACAGACGAAGCCAUCCCACUACACAAACAGCCCCUAACGACCCUUUUCUGAAACCAAAUUUAAAACGAGACGGCAGGAAAAUGGAAGGGGUCCUGCUCCCGCCGCGGCUUGCCUCACUCGUAAGUGUCGGCAGCUGCUGCUCGCUUCUCAAGGUCGAAAGGAGCCCCC
RNAcentral lists this long non-coding RNA (791 nucleotides) under Homo sapiens (human). RNAcentral describes it as "non-protein coding lnc-FAM120B-3:4". The record is from RNAcentral. Lineage: Eukaryota; Metazoa; Chordata; Mammalia; Primates; Hominidae.